RNAcentral lists this ribosomal RNA (428 nucleotides) under uncultured bacterium. RNAcentral describes it as "partial 16S ribosomal RNA". It matches the Rfam family "Bacterial small subunit ribosomal RNA", at positions 354 to 796 of the family's 1533-position model. The record is from RNAcentral.
ACUAGGAAUUUUGCGCAAUGGGGGCAACCCUGACGCAGCGACACAGCGUGGAGGAGGAAGGUCUUCGGAUUGUAAACUCCUUUUAUAUGGGAAGAAUAGAUGACUGUACCAUAUGAAUAAGCACCUGCUAACUACGUGCCAGAAGCAUCGGUGAUGCGUAGGGUGCGAACGUUAUCCGGAUUUAUUGGGCGUAAAGAGAUGCGUAGGCGUUUCAGUUAGUCUUUCGUUAAAAGUCACGGCUUAACCGUGAAGAUGCGUUGGAUACUGCUGAAAUUGAGACAUGAAUGGGUGAACGGAACUCCAAGUGGAGCGGUGAAAUGCGUUGAUAUUUGGAAGAACAUCAGAGGCGAAGGCGGUUCACUGGUCAUUGUCUGACGCUAAGGCUCGAAAGCGUGGGUAGCAAAACGGAUUAGAUACCCCAGUAGUCC